CUGGCCGAGCGUUUCAGAGGGCAAGAGGGAGGAAAUGAGAAGGAUCAGGGAGUGUGGCCGUGUGAGCCUCCCCAGACUCCGCAGAAUCCUUCCCGCUGUAAACUGGCCGAGACUUCACGGGGUCACUCGUAGCUGCCAGAGGGAGAGAGAACAAAGUCUUGGUUUCUAACCAGGUGUCCCAGGAGGACCCCUGCGUUCGCACAGGAAGCCGUGGGGACAAGGAUGGAAGUUACGGAGCGGGACCCGCAGGGAUAUGUGGUGACGGGUGGUUCGUGAGCUAAAGGAUCUAUGAUAUUUUACCCAGGAAUGCUCAAACUCUGCAGUGCAUUAAGAUCUCAAUCUUAUUUUGGAAUCUUGAAAGAAAACAAAGGAAGCCAUUAUCUCUUAAUAAACAAGAAGAAGAAUUUAAGAACUCCUGAAUACCCAGCUA
This is a long non-coding RNA of Suricata suricatta (meerkat), 430 nucleotides long. RefSeq lists it as uncharacterized. The record is from RefSeq and is a predicted model, not a curated record. Lineage: Eukaryota; Metazoa; Chordata; Mammalia; Carnivora; Herpestidae. The transcript is spliced from 4 exons.